AGGUGAUUGAGGUCCUGGCCGGGGCGCUCGCUGGAGUCUAAACUACGCACAAAGUGGCUAAGGACGAAAGUGGAGCACCGGUUCCUGCAGUGAGUGCCAGCACAGGAGGCGGAGGAGGAGGAGGAGGCGGAGGAGGAGGAGGAGGAGGAGGAGGAGGAGGACUGAUGGGAGAAAUGAGUGCAAUUCUCGCUCGACGGAAAAAAGCUUCGGAUGCUCCAGUGGUCAAGAAGGAAGAAACAAGCAGCGCUGAUUCUGACUCCAGAGCUGGGUGAGAGUCAAAU
Cyprinus carpio (common carp) is the source of this 281-nucleotide long non-coding RNA. RefSeq lists it as uncharacterized. The record is from RefSeq and is a predicted model, not a curated record. The transcript has 4 exons. NCBI's taxonomy places the organism in Eukaryota, Metazoa, Chordata, Actinopteri, Cypriniformes, Cyprinidae.